GACGAACGCUGGCGGCGUGCUUAACACAUGCCAGUCGAACGGGAUUUAGUAGACAGAAGCCUCGGCUAAAGAUUACUAAUGAGAGUGGCGAACGGGUGAGUAACGCGUGAGCAACCUGCCUAUGACAGCGGGAUAGCCUCGGGAAACCGGGAUUAAUGCCGCAUAAAAUCGUAGAAACACAUGUUUUAACGGUCAAAGAUUUAUCGGUCAUAGAUGGGCUCGCGUCUGAUUAGCUAGUUGGUGAGAUAACAGCCCACCAAGGCGACGAUCAGUAGCCGGUCUGAGAGGAUGAACGGCCACAUUGGAACUGAGACACGGUCCAAACUCCUACGGGAGGCAGCAGUGGGGAAUAUUGCACAAUGGGGGAAACCCUGAUGCAGCGACGCCGCGUGAACGAAGAAGGUAUUCGUAUCGUAAAGUUCUGUCCUAUGGGAAGAUAAUGACAGUACCAUAGAAGAAAGCUCCGGCUAAAUACGUG
This 478-nucleotide ribosomal RNA is filed under the name uncultured bacterium. RNAcentral describes it as "partial 16S ribosomal RNA". It matches the Rfam family "Bacterial small subunit ribosomal RNA", at positions 28 to 507 of the family's 1533-position model. The record is from RNAcentral.